Molecule: long non-coding RNA, 382 nt
Filed under: Bos taurus (domestic cattle)
Lineage: Eukaryota; Metazoa; Chordata; Mammalia; Artiodactyla; Bovidae
Description: long non-coding RNA NONBTAT012756
Source: RNAcentral
CAGCCUGGUGGUCCAGAGUCACAAAGACCCUGGCCUGCUGUGAUAUUGGUUUUAUGUAUUUGGGAUCUGGCUUGGGGAGAGGCCACAUGAAUAUGACAAAAAUCUAGAUGUCUAGGUCAUGAGUUCAUGGGUGUUUGUGCUAUUUUUCUCUGAGCUUUCAUUUAACAUUUUACCAAAUAAUCAAAAAGAAAAGUCAUUUUCUUGCCCCCUUGAUGGUAGAUUCUUUGCAGACUGGGUCUGUUUUGUCCUCAGUUUUUGGAUUCCCACACAGAGACUGGCUCGUUGCUAACGACCACUUGUUAGGUAGAAGUUUGGUCCAUUGAGUUGAGGAAAGUGCCUCCUAAAAUUCUUCAGUUGUUAGUGUGGAGAGGCGUCUCUCUUG